UAUUAUUUUGGGAUGUUAAAUUUUGUGCCUGAGUAGUAUUAGUUAUGUUCUUGAAACUUAAAGAAUUUGGCGGUAUCUUAUUCCAUUCAGAGGAAUCUGUCUCGUUAUCGAUAGUCCACGUUGGACCUUACUUAGUUGCUUUGGUUUGUAUACCGCCGUUUAUUGAUUAUCUUUUUAGGGUUUAUUUAAUUUUCUAUUUUCUUUAUUUUGAUUUAUUUCAGGUCAAGGUGCAGCUUGUUUCUAAGUGGAAUGAUGGAUUACACUGUUAUUUGUUUAUUGGAUUGUUGAUUUUAAUAUUGAUAUGAAAUUGGAUUUGGUUGUAAUGUUUUGUAGAUUAUUUUCAUGAUAAUUGGUUCUGGGAUAUGUACACAUCGCCCGUCGCUCUCGUUUAUCUAUUAAUGAG
This 403-nucleotide ribosomal RNA is filed under the name Anoplotermes banksi. Its description in RNAcentral is "partial 12S ribosomal RNA". Lineage: Eukaryota; Metazoa; Arthropoda; Insecta; Blattodea; Termitidae. The record is from RNAcentral.